ACCGAUUCAGGGACUCUGUCCCUGACUCGGGCUAUAUGGAGUCUGCACUGUAGGUUUUUACUUUCUUUUUGCAUCAGUCAGUGUAGAAAAGUGAAACAAGGAGAAUAAAUUUAUUCGGUUGUGGACUAAGCUGAUAAGUUCAUACAUACCCAUAUUAUCCGCAUCAAUACUUUUUACUAGAGAUUUUGUUACCAUUUUUCAUGUUUGUCACGUAAAACUUGUUCAUGUGAACAGAUCACGAUAAAAGGAGUAUUAUCGAAUCGGAUGAAUCGUUCAACAAAUUAAUGAAACUAUACGUGUUUCCUUAUUCUUGUCGACUCUCUUAUCAACUAUAAACAUCUCCGAAGGCAACCACUAUCACACACAUGGUACAAAUAAAUAGAAUGUGAAGGUAGAUCCGAUUUUUCAAUCCAAAACCUACUUUAGACAGAUAUGAUGAUGACCGCGAUAUGACAAAUCAUGCGAUUCCCUAUGUACAUAAGUUCCUGUUAGUUGGUUAUUAUCUCUUCUCAACAAUCAGAAUUGUGUGACGUUUAAGUUGAACAAUCAUCGAGACACAUACAUUUAAUCAUAAACUCUGAAAUACCAAUAUGUGGACGCUUAAUCAAUCCACUCAACAGUUUUCUAUCAAAGGAUGCGAUUGGACAUAAGGGAACAAAAAUUUGCAAAAUUUGUAACGCCUAAUUUUGCUGGAAAAUUUGGUAACUAAAGAAUGGUGACUGGCAAGGAACGGUAGUCACAACAAAGGAAAAUCAAUACUCACUCGAAGAAAUCUGAAUCCUCCACAUUUGACAAUUGCGUGCAGAAUCAUCAAUCAUCAUACAUGCUUGUUUCGAGUUGGAUUUUGGUCCAAGUCUGGAAAAUUGCCAAAAAGAACACCAAUUACUAACUAAGAAGAAGGACUAGAGACACAACCAUGCAUUCUUC
Folsomia candida is the source of this 927-nucleotide long non-coding RNA. RefSeq lists it as uncharacterized. Lineage: Eukaryota; Metazoa; Arthropoda; Collembola; Entomobryomorpha; Isotomidae. The record is from RefSeq and is a predicted model, not a curated record. The transcript is spliced from 4 exons.